Molecule: ribosomal RNA, 507 nt
Filed under: uncultured bacterium
Lineage: Bacteria
Description: partial 16S ribosomal RNA
Rfam family: Bacterial small subunit ribosomal RNA
Source: RNAcentral
GACGAACGCUGGCGGCGUGCCUAAUACAUGCAAGUCGAACGCAUUUUCUUUCACUGUAGCGUGUUACACCGUAAGAAAAUGAGUGGCGAACGGGUGAGUACCACGCGGGUAACCUGCGCAACAGCGGGGGAUAACACUCGGAUACAGGUGCUAAUACCGUAUAAUUUCAUUUACUGUGUGGAAGUUGGACGAAAGGGGCUUUUGCGUCACCGAUGCAUGGACUUGCGGUGCAUUGGGUAGAUGGUGGGGUAGCGGCCUACCAAGGCUGCGAGGCAUAGCGGACCUGGGAGGGUGAUCGGCCCCACUGGGACUGAGACACGGCCCAGACUCCUACGGGAGGCAGCAGUAGGGAAUCUUCGGCAAUAGACGCAAGUCUGACCGAGCAACGCCGCGUGAGUGAAGAAGGUUUUCGGAUCGUAAAACUCUGUUGUUAGAAAAGAACAAGGAUGAGAGUGGAAAGUUCAUCCCUUGACGGUAUCUAACCAGAAAGCCACGGCUAACUACGUG